UACGGGGGGGGCAAGCGUUGUUCGGAAUUACUGGGCGUAAAGGGCCAGUAGGCGGCCAACUAAGUCGGAUGUGAAAUCCCCAGGCUUAACCUGGGAACUGCAUCCGAUACUGGAUGGCUUGAAUCCGGGAGAGGGAUGCAGAAUUCCAGGUGUAGCGGUGAAAUGCGUAGAUAUCUGGAGGAAUACCGGUGGCGAAGGCGGCAUCCUGGACCGGCAUUGACGCUGAGGAGCGAAAGCUAGGGGAGCAAACGGG
This 253-nucleotide ribosomal RNA is filed under the name uncultured bacterium. Its description in RNAcentral is "partial 16S ribosomal RNA". It matches the Rfam family "Bacterial small subunit ribosomal RNA", at positions 524 to 776 of the family's 1533-position model. The record is from RNAcentral.